GUGAUUAAAUCGAGCGUGUCUUCAUUGACCGCUCACCCUUCUCACCAUCCACAUACACCUGUGCACUGUUUAGCCUGAGCCGGUUUUCCGGUCCAGGUUAUCAUCUCAUACAAACUCUAGUCUUAUGAAUGUAAACGUUUUUAAUAACAUAAUA
This 154-nucleotide unclassified non-coding RNA is filed under the name soil metagenome. RNAcentral describes it as "partial internal transcribed spacer 1". The record is from RNAcentral.